AAGUCGUAACAAGGUUUCCGUAGGUGAACCUGCGGAAGGAUCAUUAACACAAUCCGAAAGGCGUUGCGCGUGCUUCCCAGCACAAGCAACCCUUUUAUCUACCCAACUGUGCACUUGUUCUCCAGCGAGUGGUGGGCGCAUCCGGUUUGUCCAGUCGUGUUUCACGCUGAACAGGUCGGGUCAACCUCCACUUGCGUUUUUUGUUGUUUUCAACUUUAUUUACCCUUUUGAAAAAACUCGGUUGUAGUUUUUUUCUUUCAAAGCAACGAACGACGCUGGCCACGUGCCUGUCUUGUCGGUCGAUUGUUCGAAAAACUGAAAAUACAACUCUUAGCAACGGAUAUCUUGGUUCCCGU
This 356-nucleotide unclassified non-coding RNA is filed under the name fungal sp. Its description in RNAcentral is "partial internal transcribed spacer region". The stretch from base 1 to 46 matches the Rfam family "Eukaryotic small subunit ribosomal RNA", at positions 1786 to 1831 of the family's 1831-position model. Lineage: Eukaryota; Fungi. The record is from RNAcentral.